GAAGAACGCUAGCUACAGGCUUAACACAUGCAAGUCGAGGGACCGGCGCACGGGUGAGUAACACGUAUCCAACCUGCCCUUUACCCGGGGAUAGCCUUUCGAAAGAAAGACUAAUACCUGAUAUAAAGGAUGGGGAUGCGUUCCAUUAGGUUGUUGGUGAGGUAACGGCUCACCAAGCCUUCGAUGGAUAGGGGUACUGAGAGGAAGGGCACCGACAGUGGACCUUAGACGCGGUCCAAACUCCUACGGGAUGCAGCAGUGGGGGAAAUUGGUGAAUGUGCGCUAGCCUGAGGCAGCCAAGUAGCGUGAAGGAUGAAGGAUUAUGUGUAGUAAACUUCUUUUAUAUAAGAAAGGGUAUUAUAUUAAUAAGGAUCGGCUGCCUCCGUGCCAGCCGCCGCGGUAAUAC
This 406-nucleotide ribosomal RNA is filed under the name uncultured bacterium. Its description in RNAcentral is "partial 16S ribosomal RNA". It matches the Rfam family "Bacterial small subunit ribosomal RNA", at positions 28 to 526 of the family's 1533-position model. The record is from RNAcentral.